UCUUAUGGAGGAGGCAGCAGAGACUCUGCUCUCCUCGUUUGGAUUAAUUCUGAUAUAAUAACUGUUGGUUUAUUUAUCGGUGGAGCAGCAGAACCUUCUCUACAGACAGUUUUCCUGCCCGUUGGCUUGUUUUAACCAGUUUUCUACCUUCGGCUGAUUCUACCAGCAGACACUGAAAGGACUCUGAUAGUUCGAGUGAAAGUAGCAGUUCCUCCUGAAGGUCAGAGAUCGCAGCAUCUGAGGGCCUCUUCAAAAGAAGACGUAGUUGAUGAAGGCGUUCUGGAGCAGGACCAGAAAGACCACGACCAAGCAGCCUUGAGAUCUUAGACAGCUUCUCCCUCAGGUCCCUCUCUAUCUCCCCACACAUCCACCAACCACUGGAACACAUCUCCAAAGUUCUGCCGGACCAGCUCAGCUUCCCCUCAGAAGAAGUGCUGCCACCUGCCAGAUGAAGGAGCCUUUUGAGAGGCAGCUGGCAUCGUGAUUGGACUGUACUUUGGUCUGUUCCAAUCCAGCUUCAGCUCCAGAGACGGCAGGCGGGACGAGUCAACGGAGGCCUGGUGGACGAAGGCAUGAAGCUGAGUACAAUCCAGAAAACAACAGAGGAAGAAACAAACAUAGUGUAUACAUCAUAUACUGUAGAAAAGACACAUCCACUGUAGAAUUGUAGUAAUUGUGGGCUGACUGAUUUACUGAUUAGCAGUAUUUUAUUUUUUACUGAUUUACGGUAAUAAAUAAAUUUUAAAAUGGUGCUACUUUGGCUCUGAACCUUUAUCUACCUGUGGUUGCUCUGUCUUCUGGAGUGAUUUGAUUGGUUAUACGUCACGAAUAAAACUCCUUUAACUUAACAUCUGUAAACAAAACAAAAACGUAUCAACAAAGUUUUCUGUUAGAGUUUGUGUUCUUCUAAGUUUAACUCCAAGAUUUUAAAUACUUUCAUUUACUGCAAAUGAAUAUCUACUCCAAAUGUCUCACUAAUAAUCAUUAUCAGCCUUAAAAACCCACAAAACACCCCUCUAUACUGGACCACACUUAGUACAGUCUGGUUCCCCCUUCUAUAAAUCUGCUUGGAAUCUUCCACUUCCUGUUUGUCAAAGUGGCCUUCUACCUGGACAGGUUUUGUUGGAGCUCAUGCAACAAACAUUUUGGGUAACUGCACUUUAAUAUGGAUGGAUGACACUGAAUUAGAGUCUGUUUUAAUGAGACUAAGUUAAGAUGUGUAGCUCUGUCAUUAAAUAGGAAAUUAUUUCUCAGAAUUCACAGAGAAAAGUCUGAAAUGUUUGCUAGGUUAGCGUCCCACAUGUUCUUUGGCUCAGCUAAUGCUAACUCUCUCCAACUUCUGGAUCUCUUGAGUUGCUUGUUGUUAAAAUAUCUUGCUAGAGGUGCUGAAGCUCAGAAAGUCUGAGAUGUUUGUUCAGAAUAAGCUCAUUCUCUUAUCUGAACAUUCCUCUUUUGUUUGAACUUUCCCUAAACUUAGGAGUUAAUGACAGAGCAGCACAUCCAGACUCAGUCUCAUUUAUGUAGAGAUUAAACUUCAGUGUCAUUCAUUGAUGUUAAAGUGCAGUUUUUCAAAUGUUUGUUGCAUAUGCUCCCGACCAAACCAGUCCAGGUGGAAGACGAUGUGAAGAGAAAGCUCCAGAGGAUGAAUAUCACACAUUUACGUUGGAAAUAAAUGUCCUUUAAUGAGACAUUGUCAUGCAAAAGUUGGAUUUCCCUUUAAUGAUGUUCAAAUCUUUGUUGAGUGUUUUAUUGAUGUUGGUUCCUAAAUGUUUUCUGACACUCGGCCCCAAAGAUUAAAACAUUUUACAGCUCACAAGCUGCAACAAUUCACACAUUAUCAACUAUCUUUCUGACUAAACUCAGAUAAAAAGUGAAAAACUGCCUGAUUCCUGCAUCAUGAAUGUAAAUCUUUUUGGUUUUUAUGACAGUAAAUUGAAUAUAUUUGGGUUUGACAUAAACCAAAACAAGAAAUGAAUUAGUGGAGAAAACAAUCAACAGAUUAAUGGACAAAGAAAAUGUGUUUUCCAACAUAUAUGGCUGAAUUACUCCAACAUUACAAGAUACAUACAAUUUUAAUUCAAUUUUAUUUAUAUAACGCCAAUUACAGGUGAAAUUGUCUCAAGAUGCUUUAUUUUUAUAUAUUUUUUAUCAUAUUUUAAAUAUGACAAAGUAAGAAAUUUAAACCUCUUGACUAAUCCAAUUUAUUAUUUGGUUUUUAAGAGACUAAUGGACAAUUAAAAUAACUUUCUCCACUAAAACUAAUAAACAUGAGGUCAAAUAGAAAGAACAGUUUUAAAUACUGCAGUCUCACGAUGACAAGAAUAAAGUUUCUCAACAAAAAGUAAAUCUGCUGGUGGAUUCCAUGAAAGUCCUAAUAAAGGAUAAUAAAGUGUGAUACCAAAGGUUUGUGGUGCUAAAAAUGUCCAAGUAAAGAUAUGAAGUUGAACAUCUGGAUGGAGGCUGAUAAAAGUUGACCUCCCUUCAUUUCACUGGAGCGACUCCAUGGAUUUUAUGGAUGGUGGUUAAAGACCUGCUCUUCUAGUGGUCUUCCUUCUAGUCGCUGUAAAAAGUCAGUCCAUCCUGGCCGACUUCAACACCUCUUCAUGACAACUUGUUCUGCCUCCGACCUGGUGGAAACUCCAGAAACUCGGGAAAACCUGUCGAGACUCGAAGAACUCGUGGAGACUUG
Molecule: long non-coding RNA, 2689 nt
Organism: Amphiprion ocellaris (clown anemonefish)
Lineage: Eukaryota; Metazoa; Chordata; Actinopteri; Pomacentridae
Exons: 3
Source: RefSeq, a predicted model, not a curated record